This 521-nucleotide ribosomal RNA is filed under the name uncultured eukaryote. RNAcentral's name for it is "bacterial SSU rRNA". It matches the Rfam family "Eukaryotic small subunit ribosomal RNA", at positions 572 to 1063 of the family's 1831-position model. The record is from RNAcentral.
AGCCGCGGUAAUACCAGCUCCACUAGCGUAUACUAAAGUUGUUGCUGUUAAAAGCUCUAGUUGGAUAUCAGUCAAAAAGGUACGACCCAGUUGUGUAAAUAACUGCGUGUUAACGUGCUCAGCACUAUUGCCUUUUUGACUUAAUUCAGGAGUGAUGAUCUGCACAUUAACUUGUAUGGGUCAUCGUGUCCUGAUCUUUUACUUUGAGAAAAUUAAGGUGCUCAAAGCAGGCCAUCGCCUGAAUGCAUUAGCAUGGUAUAAUAAAACACGACUUUGGCAUCAGCCAGUUCUCUGGCUGAGCGUUUUGUUGGUUUUGAGCCGAAGUAAUGAUUGAUAGGAACAAUUGGGGGUGCUAGUAUCGCCGGGCCAGAGGUGAAACUCUUUGAUUCCGGUGAGCUAACUUAUGCGAAAGCAUUCACCAAGCGUGUUUCUUUAAUCAGACUAAAGUUUGGGGAUCCAAAAUGAUCAGAUACCGUUGUAGUCCAAACCAUAAACUAUGCCGACUAAGGAUUGGGCAAGUC